UCCGGUUUGACACCGGCGGUCUCGUUAAAGUGCCCGACUUAACGCUGGCAACUAACGAUAAGGGUUUCGCUCGUUAAGGGACUUAACCCGACACUUCACAGCACGAGCUGACGACAGCCAUGCAGCACCUGUGCACGUUUCACCCGAAGGCAGCCGGCUCCACUUUCAUGGACGGCAUCCGUGCAUGUCAAGCCCAGGUAAGGUUCUUCGCGUUGCUUCGAAUUAAUCCACAUGCUCCUCCGCUUGUGUGAGCCCCCGUCAAUUCCUUUGAGUUUUAGCCUUGCGGCCGUACUCCCCAGGCGGCGCACUUAACACUUUUGCUUCGGAUCGAGGACCGUCAGAGGCUCUCGAACCUAGUGCGCAUCGUUUACGGCGUAGACUAC
Molecule: unclassified non-coding RNA, 383 nt
Filed under: uncultured Phycisphaerae bacterium
Lineage: Bacteria; Pseudomonadati; Planctomycetota; Phycisphaerae
Description: contains 16S-23S intergenic spacer region
Source: RNAcentral